AGUGAACGCUGGCGGUAGGCCUAACACAUGCAAGUCGAACGGCAGCACAGUAAGAGCUUGCUCUUACGGGUGGCGAGUGGCGGACGGGUGAGGAAUACAUCGGAAUCUACUUUUUCGUGGGGGAUAACGUAGGGAAACUUACGCUAAUACCGCAUACGACCUACGGGUGAAAGCGGGGGAUCUUCGGACCUUGCGCGAUUGAAUGAGCCGAUGUCGGAUUAGCUAGUUGGCGGGGUAAAGGCCCACCAAGGCGACGAUCCGUAGCUGGUCUGAGAGGAUGAUCAGCCACACUGGAACUGAGACACGGUCCAGACUCCUACGGGAGGCAGCAGUGGGGAAUAUUGGACAAUGGGCGCAAGCCUGAUCCAGCCAUACCGCGUGGGUGAGGAAGGCCUUCGGGUUGUAAAGCCCUUUUGUUGGGAAAGAAAAGCAGCAGGUUAAUACCCCGCUGUUCUGACGGUACCCAAAGAAUAAGCACCGGCUAACUUCGUG
Molecule: ribosomal RNA, 492 nt
Filed under: uncultured bacterium
Lineage: Bacteria
Description: partial 16S ribosomal RNA
Rfam family: Bacterial small subunit ribosomal RNA
Source: RNAcentral